RNAcentral lists this ribosomal RNA (657 nucleotides) under uncultured bacterium. Its description in RNAcentral is "bacterial SSU rRNA". It matches the Rfam family "Bacterial small subunit ribosomal RNA", at positions 8 to 699 of the family's 1533-position model. The record is from RNAcentral.
AGAGUUUGAUCAUGGCUCAGAACGAACGCUGGCGGCAGGCUUAACACAUGCAAGUCGAACGUGAAGCUGGAGCUUGCUCCAGUGGAAAGUGGCAGACGGGUGAGGAACGCGUGGGAAUUUACCUAGUGGUUCGGAAUAACUUCAGGAAACCGGAGCUAAUACCGAAUACGCCCUUCGGGGGAAAGAUUUAUCGCCAUUAGAUGAGCCCGCGUCUGAUUAGCUAGUUGGUGGGGUAAAAGCCUACCAAGGCAACGAUCAGUAGCUGGUCUGAGAGGAUGAUCAGCCACACUGGGACUGAGACACGGCCCAGACUCCUACGGGAGGCAGCAGUGGGGAAUAUUGCACAAUGGGCGCAAGCCUGAUGCAGCCAUGCCGCGUGAGUGAAGAAGGCCUUAGGGUUGUAAAACUCUUUCACCGGUGAAGAUAAUGACGGUAGCCGGAGAAGAAGCCCCGGCCAACUCCGUGCCAGCAGCCGCGGUAAUACGGAGGGGGCUAGCGUUGUUCGGAAUUACUGGGCGUAAAGCGCGCGUAGGCGGGCUGGUCAGUUGGGGGUGAAAUCCCGAGGCUUAACCUCGGAACUGCCUCCAAAACUGCCAGUCUAGAGAUCGAGAGAGGUGAGUGGAAUUCCUAGUGUAGAGGUGAAAUUCGUAGAUAUUA